CGCCGCCCGCCUCGGACGUGGCUUGGCCCGCUCCAAAAUCCGGCGCUAACCUUGUGCUGGACGCGCCGUGCACUGCGGCCGCACCCACGCCGCGCCGCCCCGACAGGGGAUGGCGAGCUGUGUGGGCGCGCGCCGCCCGCGGCCCGAAUAGCGAGCCGUCGUAGCGUGGCGUAGCGCUGGGCAGAGGCUCGGCGCGCCACCUUGAGGAAGGUCCGGGACGCCGCCGACGCCGUUUGUUUGCUCUGCCGCUGCCGCGAGGUCACAUCGCGCAGCACAGCUCUCACUGAAAUGCCGCACUGUCUGCACCCCCAUUGCCUGCAUCCACAUUAUGACCUUCCUGAUCGCUAAGAAUGGCAUUAUCUGCACUGGAGUGCCAGUGGCCGCAACAUAGCCAACGCCGACGACAUCCACAACCCCAGCUCCAGUCGUGCAACAAAGAACAAGUCCAGACUACAGCGGCUGGUACCGACAACUUCGCCAGUACGUGGGCCAUUGCAAGCAGCAAUGCUCUCACGGAUUUCCACGCCAUUUGAAUGGAGCCUUUGUAGUUUCAGUGAAGAUCGUCUCUCAGCCGUCAGCCGCCUCUCUGUCCAUUCUUAUAGGAAGGAUGAAGAUGAUCACAAGAACUGUCAUACUCAGUAUCUCGAGAUGCUUUUAGGGAUACUAUAUUAUUUACCCAAUUUGAUGACAAGGUCAGAUACCGAAAUUUGGUCCUUGCCUGCCUAUAUACUUUGGAAAGGGAACUUUUCAAUACUGUGAACAAUCUGCAUUAUGUCGCCAUUAAGCGUAGCACUAUGAUAUGCUGCAAGUUCUCUCUCCCCUUUGGAGGGUGUCUCUGAAAACAUUGUUAUACGUAACUGGAGUGAUAGUGGCAUGAUAUCGUGGGGUGCCUCAACUGCCGAGUGGUUUGAGCGUCUCAUUACAGGCCUGAAUGUCUCAA
Molecule: long non-coding RNA, 940 nt
Organism: Schistocerca nitens (vagrant locust)
Lineage: Eukaryota; Metazoa; Arthropoda; Insecta; Orthoptera; Acrididae
Exons: 3
Source: RefSeq, a predicted model, not a curated record